RNAcentral lists this ribosomal RNA (1469 nucleotides) under oral metagenome. RNAcentral's name for it is "bacterial SSU rRNA". It matches the Rfam family "Bacterial small subunit ribosomal RNA". The record is from RNAcentral.
AGAGUUUGACCCUGGCUCAGGAUGAACGCUAGCAGAGUGCUUAACACAUGCAAGUCGAACGAGAAUUUCACUUCGGUGAAAGGAAAGUGGCAAACGGGCGAGUAACGCGUAUCUAAUCUGCCUUGGAGCGAGGCAUAACUAUGGAGACAUAGCUAAUUCCUCAUACGACCUAUAGAAUGAAAAUAUAUAGGUGAAAGGUUUACCACUCUAAGAAGAGGAUGCGUCCUAUCAGGUAGUUGGUGUAGGUAAAUGCUCACCAAGCCUAUGACGGGUAGCCGGUCUGAGAGGAUGUCCGGCCGCAAUGGGACUGAGACACGGCCCAUACUCCUACGGGAGGCAGCAGUGGGGAAUCUUGCACAAUGGGCGAAAGCCUGAUGCAGCAACUCUGCGUGAAGGAUGAAGCAUUAUGGUGUGUAAACUUCUUUUCUGGGGGACGAAGAAUGACGGUACCUCAGGAAUAAGGGACGGCUAACUACGUGCCAGCAGCCGCGGUAAUACGUAGGUCUCGAGCGUUAUCCGGAGUUACUGGGCGUAAAGCGUCUGCAGCCGGAUGUAAAAGUCUAUUUUUAAAUAUUUCGACUUAAUCGAAAAGAGGGGAUAGAUACUAUACAUCUAGAGUAUUUUGGGGGAUAGUGGAAUUUCCAGUGUAGCGGUGGAAUGUGUUGAUAUUGGAAGGAAUGCCAAAAGCGAAAGCAGCUAUCUAUGAAAUUACUGACGGUCAGAGACGAAAGUUUGGGUAGCAAACGGGAUUAGAUACCCCGGUAGUCCAAACUGUAAACGAUGCUUGCUAGGUGUUUUUCUAUGUAUAUAGAGAAGUGUCGUAACCUAACGGGUUAAGCAAGUCGCCUGGGUAGUAUAUUCGCAAGAAUGAAACUCAAAGGGAUAGGCGGGGGAACACACAAGCAGUGGAUGAUCUAGAUUAAUUGGAUAAUAAGCCAACAAUCUUACCUAUACUUGACAUAUACUGUGUCAUUAGUGAAAGCUAGUUAUUUUGUAGCAAUACAAAAGCGGUAUACAGGUGGUGCACGGUCGUCGUCAGUUCGUGCCGCAAGGUGUUCGGUUAAUUCCGAUAACGAGCGCAACCCUCAUCUUAUGUUAUUUAUGUCAUGAGAGACUGCCUGGGUAACCAGGAGGAAGGAGAGGAUGAUGUCAGAUCAUCAUGCCCCUUAUGUUUAGGGCUUCAUAGAUCAUACAAUGGGUAGGACAGCGAGAAGCAAUACCGUGAGGUGGAGCAAAUCUUCAAACCUAUCCUUAGUUCGGAUUGUAGUCUGGAACUCGACUACAUGAAGUUGGAAUUGCUAGUAAUGGUGGGUCAGAAUACCACCGUGAAUAUGUCCCUGUUCCUUGCACUCACCGCCCGUCAAACCAUGGGAGUCGAAGUCCUUUGAAAGCUCACAAUGUGGGAAUAGAAGGGAAGCGAUGACUGGGGUUAAGUCGUAACAAGGUAUCCCUACGGGAACGUGGGGAUG